GUCUCCAGUGCUCACUUUGAGCUUCCUUGGGGUUUGUUUCUGACUAGCAGGGGAAAAAAAAAGGCAGUUUAGCAUUUAUCAGCUACACCAGUUUUACUGGAAACUAUUGAAAACGUUUAACAACUUGUCCUCGGGGGGAGGGAGGUGGUGCCACGAUGAGCACAUCAAGUGUUUUCUCUAAGUUACUCUUCUUCAAGCAAGGCUGAAAAAUGAACUCUAGAUACAAAUCACUCAGAACAGACCAGUGGUCACAUCACAACUCAUCCCUGGAUUCAAAAUCUCUCUCCUUCCCUUCUCCAGCUCCACACUCCACCAGGCUGCAGCUCCCCUCUCUGCAGUGCCAUCGUGGCACAAACCUGCCAGGAUGCCAUGGGAAGCUCUUAAUCUUACGAAAAAGAGCCUGAGGACAUUCUGAUGCUUCUGCAUGAAGAGAGAAAGCAGUCCACAGUGCCAAGAUAAAGCUGAGGCUUUGAGAGACCACAGGCAUUUUACCUAACACCAUAAACCCCAGUGUGGCACCUCCAGCUUGGCUCACCACUCCUCACUGCUCCAGACAGCCAGCAACACACUGGAAGGGACCUAAUUCCUGUACAGCUUCCCAUGGGCAGCACAGCCUUCUGGAGAUUCAUCCCUGGAUCACGGGAACCAGGGGGAUCUGCUAGAGGAGGGAAGUUCACCUCACUCACUGCCCAGCAAACUGUGUCUGUAUCAGCUGAAGACAACUCAAAGGCAAGUUUGCAAAAGCAGGUUAAAUAUCAGUGUAUGAUAUCAAGCACUGGCUUCUACAGUUUCAUAUUUUAAGAUCAGAUAAAAAAGGAAAGAAAGGUUUUUCCCUGCACAUCUCUUUAUAGACUUUCCAACAGCUUACACACAAAGCAUUUAGACACUUUAAUUUCCACUCUAAUAUGAAUACUCUAACCCCAAAUGAAACCUAUUAAAAAUUAAAUUCUUAUAUUAAGUUUAAGAUGCGUCUCUUUUCUCCCCAGGUCCCAUUAAACACUCUCCCUACACACAGUUUAGAAGACAGAAGAGAUCCUAGAGAAUAUUUACAAAGAGAACAAAACCCCCUGAGGGUUUUUAUGUUACUACAACAUUAAUCUAUUUUAAUCACACAACAGAUUAAAACCAAACAACAUUAAAUGGUUCUGCAAAGUA
Molecule: long non-coding RNA, 1155 nt
Organism: Pseudopipra pipra
Lineage: Eukaryota; Metazoa; Chordata; Aves; Passeriformes; Pipridae
Exons: 4
Source: RefSeq, a predicted model, not a curated record